ACAAGCUCAGAGCCGCCGCUGAUCCAGAGUUUCUUGAAGAAAUCGAGCGCGUCAGGACGGAAAACCAAGAACUUAAUCAGGUACCUGGUUUUUGGCUCGACUUCUUUAGCUGACGCUUGCUUUUAUCGAUGGAUUGCUUCCCAGUUGUGUCAGCGCUAUGAGAAGAUGCUGCAUUCUUACUGUGGCCAACUCGGCGUCCUGUUCAAACCUCUCAGGAGCGAAGGACUGAGGUGAGCUCACGCUCCCUUAUCUUAGUAUAGCAAACAUAUUGUUUUGAGAAUCCAUCCUAGCUGACUUUGAGAGAGCUUACUG
This 312-nucleotide long non-coding RNA is filed under the name Selaginella moellendorffii. Its description in RNAcentral is "long non-coding RNA (SMOE_LNC000231)". The record is from RNAcentral. Lineage: Eukaryota; Viridiplantae; Streptophyta; Lycopodiopsida; Selaginellales; Selaginellaceae.